Cantharellus anzutake is the source of this 90-nucleotide non-coding RNA. NCBI's taxonomy places the organism in Eukaryota, Fungi, Basidiomycota, Agaricomycetes, Cantharellales, Hydnaceae. The record is from the annotation of a RefSeq genome assembly.
CCUCGAAUAGCUCAGUUGGUAGAGCGUCAGACUGUAAUUGGUAAUACUCAUUUCAUCUGAAUGUCACCUGUUCGACCCAGGUUUCGAGGA